Piliocolobus tephrosceles (Ugandan red Colobus) is the source of this 107-nucleotide small nuclear RNA. NCBI's taxonomy places the organism in Eukaryota, Metazoa, Chordata, Mammalia, Primates, Cercopithecidae. The record is from Ensembl.
GUGCUUGCUCUGGCAGCACAUACACUAAAAUUGGAGUGAUACAGAGAAGGUUAGCAUGGCCUCUGCACAAGGAUAAUACACAAAUUCAUGAAGCAUUCCAUAUUUUU